UACGUAGGGUGCGAGCGUUGUCCGGAAUUAUUGGGCGUAAAGAGCUUGUAGGCGGUUUGUCGCGUCUGCUGUGAAAUUUCGGGGCUCAACCCCGAACUUGCAGUGGGUACGGGCAGACUAGAGUGUGGUAGGGGGAGACUGGAAUUCCUGGUGUAGCGGUGAAAUGCGCAGAUAUCAGGAGGAACACCUGUGGUGUAGACAGCUUACUGGACCAUUUCUGACGCUGAGACACGAAAGCGUGGGUAGCAAACAGG
RNAcentral lists this ribosomal RNA (254 nucleotides) under uncultured bacterium. RNAcentral describes it as "partial 16S ribosomal RNA". It matches the Rfam family "Bacterial small subunit ribosomal RNA", at positions 524 to 776 of the family's 1533-position model. The record is from RNAcentral.